ACAGGAUUAGAUACCCUGGUAGUCCACGCCGUAAACGAUGUCGACUUGGAGGCUGUUUCCUUGAGAAGUGGCUUCCGGAGCUAACGCGUUAAGUCGACCGCCUGGGGAGUACGGCCGCAAGGUUAAAACUCAAAUGAAUUGACGGGGGCCCGCACAAGCGGUGGAGCAUGUGGUUUAAUUCGAUGCAACGCGAAGAACCUUACCUACUCUUGACAUCCACGGAAUUUGGCAGAGAUGCCUUAGUGCCUUCGGGAACCGUGAGACAGGUGCUGCAUGGCUGUCGUCAGCUCGUGUUGUGAAAUGUUGGGUUAAGUCCCGCAACGAGCGCAACCCUUAUCCUUUGUUGCCAGCGAUUCGGUCGGGAACUCAAAGGAGACUGCCGGUGAUAAACCGGAGGAAGGUGGGGAUGACGUCAAGUCAUCAUGGCCCUUACGAGUAGGGCUACACACGUGCUACAAUGGCGCAUACAAAGAGAAGCGACCUCGCGAGAGCAAGCGGACCUCAUAAAGUGCGUCGUAGUCCGGAUCGGAGUCUGCAACUCGACUCCGUGAAGUCGGAAUCGCUAGUAAUCGUGGAUCAGAAUGCCACGGUGAAUACGUUCCCGGGCCUUGUACACACCGCCCGUCACACCAUGGGAGUGGGUUGCAAAAGAAGUAGGUAGCUUAACCUUCGGGAGGGCGCUUACCACUUUGUGAUUCAUGACUGGGGUGAAGUCGUAACAAGGUA
This 726-nucleotide ribosomal RNA is filed under the name uncultured bacterium. RNAcentral's name for it is "bacterial SSU rRNA". It matches the Rfam family "Bacterial small subunit ribosomal RNA", at positions 772 to 1498 of the family's 1533-position model. The record is from RNAcentral.